Passer domesticus (house sparrow) is the source of this 778-nucleotide long non-coding RNA. RefSeq lists it as uncharacterized. The record is from RefSeq and is a predicted model, not a curated record. The transcript is spliced from 3 exons. Lineage: Eukaryota; Metazoa; Chordata; Aves; Passeriformes; Passeridae.
UGAGUGCCCAGGAGCUGCAGCCCUCUCUGAGCACUCCAGCCCGGGUGGAAUGCAGACCUGGAGGAGGAGCAGGUCAGUUCCCAAUGUCCUGGAAUCUGUGCUUAGUAAAACCAGAGGCUUCUUGGAGGAAAAUUCAUCAUCUGUUGUAGCCUGCAAGGAAAGAAACCCUGGGAGUAUUGCCAAACCAUGAGAACAUCCUCCCAGAGCCUGAAACGGCUACUGCAUGAUAUCAUUUCUCCUCUAGGUUGUUUCAGCUCAUCUGAGAUAAGGGCUUCAAAUCUGAAGGAAUCAGAACAAAUGGUCAGAGCCAUGGCAGCAGAAGCUUUGGACUGGGCAGCAGAGAGGUGCAGUCUCAAACCAGUUUGCACUAAUGAGCAAUAAAUUUUUUACCUGUGGAAAAGGUCACACUUGAAUUUCUAUUUGGUGUUAACAUCUCCUGGAGAAGUGACAGAUAUCUGUUGGGACAGGAGUUGAAGGGAGAAGAUGAAGAGGAAAAAUGAAAAAAAACCCAAACAAUCCAAGCCUGAAAAUGAAGUGGAAUUUUUGGCCAAAUAGAAUGUAUUUAAAUCUUUACUGCUGAUGAAAUCUUGAACACAAGCUUACAAGGGGUUUAAGGACACUUUCCAAAUAUGACUGUACUAUAUAAUCUCUUUUUGGUCAGAUCUGGAACCUUUGAAAUAUCUUGGAAAAGAAGAGCUUGUGAAUGCUAUUUAAUUCUUCUGAAAAAUGAAAAAGCUGUAUAAUAAAAGCUUCCUAGUAUCACCUGCUUUUAUAAGAA